This 72-nucleotide transfer RNA is filed under the name Nuclearia simplex. RNAcentral's name for it is "tRNA-Phe". It matches the Rfam family "tRNA". Rfam says of the family: Transfer RNA (tRNA) molecules are approximately 80 nucleotides in length. Their secondary structure includes four short double-helical elements and three loops (D, anti-codon, and T loops). Further hydrogen bonds mediate the characteristic L-shaped molecular structure. tRNAs have two regions of fundamental functional importance: the anti-codon, which is responsible for specific mRNA codon recognition, and the 3' end, to which the tRNAs corresponding amino acid is attached (by aminoacyl-tRNA synthetases). tRNAs cope with the degeneracy of the genetic code in two manners: having more than one tRNA (with a specific anti-codon) for a particular amino acid; and 'wobble' base-pairing, i.e. permitting non-standard base-pairing at the 3rd anti-codon position. The record is from RNAcentral. Lineage: Eukaryota; Rotosphaerida; Nucleariidae.
GUUUGAAUAGCUCAGAGGUAGAGCAUGAGACUGAAAAUCUUUGUGUCAAUGGUUCAAUUCCAUUUUCAAACA